ACGAACGCUGGCGGCGUGCUUAACCCAUGCCAGUCGAACGGUGAAGCGCCUUCCUUUUUGGUGGGUGUGGAUGAGUGGCGAACGGGUGAGUAACACGUGAGUAACCUGCCCCCUUCUUCUGGAUAACCGCAUGAAAGUGUGGCUAAUACGGGAUAUUCUGGGUCUGUCGCAUGAUGGGUCUGGGAAAGAUAUUGUUUCGGUGGGGGAUGGGCUCGCGGCCUAUCAGCUUGUUGGUGGGGUGAUGGCCUACCAAGGCGGUGACGGGUAGCCGGCCUGAGAGGGUGGACGGUCACACUGGGACUGAGACACGGCCCAGACUCCUACGGGAGGCAGCAGUGGGGAAUAUUGCACAAUGGGCGCAAGCCUGAUGCAGCGACGCCGCGUGAGGGAUGGAGGCCUGCGGGUUGUGAACCUCUUUCGCCAGUGAAGCAGGCCUGCCUCGUUUGUGGGUGGGUUGACGGUAGCUGGAGAAGAAGCGCCGGCUAACUACGUG
RNAcentral lists this ribosomal RNA (493 nucleotides) under uncultured bacterium. Its description in RNAcentral is "partial 16S ribosomal RNA". It matches the Rfam family "Bacterial small subunit ribosomal RNA", at positions 29 to 507 of the family's 1533-position model. The record is from RNAcentral.